This 436-nucleotide unclassified non-coding RNA is filed under the name rhizosphere metagenome. RNAcentral describes it as "partial ribosomal RNA internal transcribed spacer region". The record is from RNAcentral.
GUAGGUGAACCUGCGGAAGGAUCAUUAACACGUUUACCACGUAUCUAACAAACUUCGUGAACCUUAAUGUCAGGGUCACUUCUGGCUGGCAGGGAAACCAAGGUGAUUCUUGGUAGUACUCGCUGUCUAGUCGUGAUCGUAAGAUUAUGCGGUUUGAGUUAUGCAGUCGACCACCCGUUGACACCGACGCGCACGUUCUGUGUGCGGAGCCGUAGACGGUCCCGUCUGUAGAUCAUUCCGCACGAAAUCACCGAACCAAUAUCACCCUUUGUCAAGCCGUCUACGAUUUAGCGGUUCCGCUGCUUCGUAGUUCACGGAUUGAUGUUACUUAACUUAUUUUUCUUUGUUAUGAAGGACUGCAAACCGUGGACCUCACGGCUAGCUUUUCUUUAAUACAAACUCUGUACAACUCUUAGCAACGGAUAUCUUGGUUUCC